ACCUCCGUACGGGAGGCAGCAGUUAGGAUUUCCGCAAUGACGAAAGUCUGACGGAGCAAUGCCGCGUGAGUGAUGAAGGUUUUCGAAUCGUAAAGCUCUGUUGUAAGGGAAGAAUAGCAGUAGUAGGAAAUGACUACUGUGUGACGGUACCUUACCAGAAAGCCACGGCUAACUACGUGCCAGCAGCCGCGGUAAUACGUAGGUGGCAAGCGUUAUCCGGAAUUAUUGGGCGUAAAGCGCAUGUAGGCGGCUCUUUAAGUCUGAUGUGAAAGCCUGUGGCUCAACCACAGAAUUGCAUUGGAUACUGGAGAGCUAGAAUCUUGGAGAGGUAAGUGGAAUUUCAUGUGUAGCGGUGGAAUGCGUAGAUAUAUGAAGGAACA
RNAcentral lists this ribosomal RNA (380 nucleotides) under uncultured bacterium. Its description in RNAcentral is "bacterial SSU rRNA". It matches the Rfam family "Bacterial small subunit ribosomal RNA", at positions 334 to 708 of the family's 1533-position model. The record is from RNAcentral.